This 24-nucleotide non-coding RNA is filed under the name Arabidopsis thaliana (thale cress). Lineage: Eukaryota; Viridiplantae; Streptophyta; Magnoliopsida; Brassicales; Brassicaceae. The record is from RNAcentral.
UGGGUCUCACGGUUGUCUCUUUGU